AACGAUGUUCUGACCCCGUCUUAGGCAAACACCUCCUCCUGUGGCUCUGGCAGAGACCAGCUCCAGCCCUGUCUGCUGGGUCCUUCCAGCCUGUCGUGUCCUGUUGUGUCCUGAGCUCCUGCUGGCUGUCAGGCAUGCUUGCUGGUGCUUCCUGGUGCGCGCAGAGCCCCGGGGUUGUCAUCACUGAUUCCUGCAUUGAUCUGUCUGCACCCCCUCUUCAUAAGUUCAAGGGUGGGACCCCCUUCUUACUUGUCUUUGCACCCUCUGGACCUGGCUGUGCUCAGUGAAAUGGAAGGAAAUGGAAAUGAAAUGGAAGGAAAGUUAAGUGCCCAGAGAAGUGGAUGAGACGGGGUCCCCACCCCAAGGUACUUUGAGAACAUCCCCAAGGGUCUAGACCAGGAAGGCUGGACUCGAGGUGGCAUCCAGCCCCAGAUGCCAGGAGGCUACGCCCUCAGCCAGCCGGUCAGCUGCAUGGAGGCCACCCCCAACCCCAUGGAGAGCCUGCGGCACCUGCAUCCCCACGUGGGAAGAACCCUGACCUCAGCCGACCCCUUCUACCAGAACACACCUCACAGCAGCCGCUGCGUGGCACACAGCUGAGCCCUGAGCCCUUGGUAAGGGGCUGGGGACCCCCACACUCAGCUGCUCUGGUUGUGUGGGCAACCGUUAUGGGCCAGCCCUGCCUCCCAAGCCCUGGGUUAAGCAAGUCCUGCCUGGGGACCCCCCUUCCAAGUGGGGGGUGACAGAUCAGGGGGCCUCUCAGAACCCCUUCUCUGCCAGGCAAGCACACAGAACCACCCCAGAGCCCCUCGCUCAGGCCUCGCCUCUGCUUCUCC
This 836-nucleotide long non-coding RNA is filed under the name Pan troglodytes (chimpanzee). RNAcentral's name for it is "long non-coding RNA NONPTRT002654". The record is from RNAcentral. Lineage: Eukaryota; Metazoa; Chordata; Mammalia; Primates; Hominidae.